Molecule: long non-coding RNA, 328 nt
Filed under: Dermacentor andersoni
Lineage: Eukaryota; Metazoa; Arthropoda; Arachnida; Ixodida; Ixodidae
Description: uncharacterized LOC126548643
Source: RNAcentral
CGGCUAAUUUAUGCUAACGUGUAAUCAGAGACCGGAGCCACUGUAAUUCAGGUUAUGUACGAGAAACGCCUUGCAGGUCAGUGACAGCUGUGCAUGUUCCUGCUUUUGGCAAUGGACGAUGGAUUUGCGGCACGUAAAACUGCCAUGUGGAAGGAUGGGAAAGAAGCGGCUGCUGGAAAUUUCGUGUUUCAGUGAGCCUGCUCCUCAUAACGCCUCGACCACAAUGAAUUACAGUUGCAGUAGACUUGUGGUGACGCUUUAUUGUGUAGUAUGGAGUGGCCUAAGUGGCACAGUGGCAAGGAGCGCGAGUGAGUAUUUCAAGAAUCCG